This 97-nucleotide transfer RNA is filed under the name Desulfarculus sp. RNAcentral describes it as "tRNA-OTHER". It matches the Rfam family "Selenocysteine transfer RNA". Lineage: Bacteria; Pseudomonadati; Thermodesulfobacteriota; Desulfarculia; Desulfarculales; Desulfarculaceae. The record is from RNAcentral.
GGCCGGUUAUGGGAGCCGGGCUCCCCCCGGGCUGCAAACCCGGCGAGGCUGCCCUAGCGGGCAUCCUGUUCGGUUCGACUCCGAAAACCGGCCUCCA